UACGGAGGAUCCAAGCGUUAUCCGGAUUUAUUGGGUUUAAAGGGUGCGUAGGUGGCCUGUUAAGUCAGGGGUGAAAGACGGUAGCUCAACUAUCGCAGUGCCCCUUGAUACUGAUGGGCUUGAAUAAACUAGAGGUAGGCGGAAUGUGACAAGUAGCGGUGAAAAUGCAUAGAUAUGUCACAGAACACCAAUUGCGAAGGCAGCUUACUAUGGUUUUAUUUGACACUGAGGCACGAAAGCGUGGGGGAUCAAAACAGG
RNAcentral lists this ribosomal RNA (258 nucleotides) under uncultured bacterium. Its description in RNAcentral is "partial 16S ribosomal RNA". It matches the Rfam family "Bacterial small subunit ribosomal RNA", at positions 524 to 776 of the family's 1533-position model. The record is from RNAcentral.